GAUGAACGCUGGCGGCGUGCCUAAUACAUGCGAGUCGAGCGAACGGACGAGAAGCUUGCUUCUCUGAUGUUAGCGGCGGACGGGUGAGUAACACGUGGAUAACCUACCUAUAAGACUGGGAUAACUUCGGGAAACCGUAGCUAAUACCGGAUAAUAUUUUGAACCGCAUGGUUCAAAAGUGAAAGACGGUCUUGCUGUCACUUAUAGAUGGAUCCGCGCUGCAUUAGCUAGUUGGUAAGGUAACGGCUUACCAAGGCAGCGAUGCAUAGCCGACCUGAGAGGGUGAUCGGCCACACUGGAACUGAGACACGGUCCAGACUCCUACGGGAGGCAGCAGUAGGGAAUCUUCCGCAAUGGGCGAAAGCCUGACGGAGCAACGCCGCGUGAGUGAUGAAGGUCUUCGGAUCGUAAAACUCUGUUAUUAGGGAAGAACAUAUGUGUAAGUAACUGUGCACAUCUUGACGGUACCUAAUCAGAAAGCCACGGCUAACUACGUG
RNAcentral lists this ribosomal RNA (497 nucleotides) under uncultured bacterium. RNAcentral's name for it is "partial 16S ribosomal RNA". It matches the Rfam family "Bacterial small subunit ribosomal RNA", at positions 28 to 507 of the family's 1533-position model. The record is from RNAcentral.